This 486-nucleotide ribosomal RNA is filed under the name uncultured Methanosarcinaceae archaeon. Its description in RNAcentral is "bacterial SSU rRNA". It matches the Rfam family "Archaeal small subunit ribosomal RNA", at positions 336 to 824 of the family's 1478-position model. Lineage: Archaea; Methanobacteriati; Methanobacteriota; Methanomicrobia; Methanosarcinales; Methanosarcinaceae. The record is from RNAcentral.
CAGGCGCGAAAACUUCGCAAUGGGGGAAACCCCGACGAGGGAAUUCCAAGUGCCAGCACUUUGUGUUGGCUGUUCUUCUGUCUAAAAAACAGGAGGAGUAAGGGGCGGGUAAGACGGGUGCCAGCCGCCGCGGUAAUACCCGCGCCCCCAGUGGUGGUCGAUAUUAUUGAGCCUAAAACGUCCGUAGCCGGUCUUCUAAAUCCUUGGGUAAAUCGGGCAGCUCAACUGUCCGAAUUCCGGGGAGACUGGGAGACUUGGGACCGGGAGAGGUCAGAGGUACUUCUGGGGUAGGGGUAAAAUCCUGUAAUCCUGGAAGGACCACCGGUGGCGAAGGCGUCUGACUAGAACGGAUCCGACGGUGAGGGACGAAGCCCUGGGGCGCAAACGGGAUUAGAUACCCCGGUAGUCCAGGGUGUAAACGCUGCGGGCUUGGUGUUGGGGGUCCUUAGUGGGCGCCCAGUGCCGGAGAGAAGCUGUUAAGCCUGC